Molecule: non-coding RNA, 273 nt
Organism: Pelobates cultripes (western spadefoot toad)
Lineage: Eukaryota; Metazoa; Chordata; Amphibia; Anura; Pelobatidae
Source: the annotation of a GenBank genome assembly
AAUAUUGGGACAUAUAAAAAGACAACUCUGUUCCGCAGAGUAGCUGUUGACAUUAUAGUUGCGCAGGCACUUUGACUCUAGAGAACCUUUGGCAAAUCGCACAUCCCCGUGCAUGUGGAUGUCAUCCAUAUCAACUUUCGAAGCCAGUUUCUGCGCCUUGGGUAACGGGGAAUCAGGGUUCCAUUCCGUACAUGGACCCUGAGAAAUGGCUACCACAUGCAAGGAAGGCAGCAGGCGCGCAAAUGACCCACUCCCGACGCGGGAUGGUAGUGA